This 505-nucleotide long non-coding RNA is filed under the name Equus asinus (donkey). RNAcentral's name for it is "lncRNA (ENSEASG00005024788.1)". The record is from RNAcentral. Lineage: Eukaryota; Metazoa; Chordata; Mammalia; Perissodactyla; Equidae.
GCCGCGUGAGCAGGCGCACUUCCUGGCUUCAGGUGUUGAGGAUACCCUGACUGUGUUCUGAAUUUUUCAGUGGAGCCGCUCUGUCUUCUGAAGUCUCUACUUGAUUAGAUGAGAUGGCAAGAAGGAGGACCUGACCAUUGGCCCCCUACUACCUUGUUUUUUCAUCAACAUUCCUAUAUCUCAGAGUUCCUGAAGACGACUGAGGACAUGAUUCUGAGAUCCAUCAUCAACACCCAAGCCCCUAUCUUUCACCAAGAAUGGGACAUCAGCUUUUCAAAUCAGAUGUUAUCUUCCAAAGGGAACAGACGUUGUCUUCUGCUUGAUCCUGAGCACCAACUCCAAGAAGAAAGUGUCUGAAAAACAAAUAGUGUUAUGGCAUGAUGUUAGAAAAAUUUUCAAAUCCUUGUUCCUAAAACUUCACAUUAGAAGAAUUGGAAUUUGAAAAACACCAGUAAAACUAAAUUACAAGAAAAUUCAAUUCAAGAGGAAGAUUAUGAAUAUAAUA